This 177-nucleotide ribosomal RNA is filed under the name uncultured bacterium. RNAcentral's name for it is "partial 16S ribosomal RNA". It matches the Rfam family "Bacterial small subunit ribosomal RNA", at positions 1326 to 1500 of the family's 1533-position model. The record is from RNAcentral.
CUGGAAUCGCUAGUAAUCGCGGAUCAGAAUGCCGCGGUGAAUACGUUCCCGGGUCUUGUACACACCGCCCGUCACACCAUGGGAGUCGGAAAUGCCCGAAGUCUGUGACCCAACCUGAAAGGGAGGGAGCAGCCGAAGGCAGGUCGGAUGACUGGGGUGAAGUCGUAACAAGGUAUC